RNAcentral lists this small nuclear RNA (156 nucleotides) under Dasypus novemcinctus (nine-banded armadillo). Its description in RNAcentral is "U1 spliceosomal RNA (ENSDNOG00000029087.1)". It matches the Rfam family "U1 spliceosomal RNA". From Rfam's summary of the family: U1 is a small nuclear RNA (snRNA) component of the spliceosome (involved in pre-mRNA splicing). Its 5' end forms complementary base pairs with the 5' splice junction, thus defining the 5' donor site of an intron. The record is from RNAcentral. Lineage: Eukaryota; Metazoa; Chordata; Mammalia; Cingulata; Dasypodidae.
AAUAAUACCUGGCAGGGGAGAUACCAUGACCAUAAAAGUGCUUUUCCCAGGGUGAUGUUUAUCCGUUGCACUCUGGUGCUGACACCUGUGAUUUCCCCAAAUAUUGGAAACUCGACUGCAUAAUUUUUGGUAGUGGGGAACUGCAUUCACUCUCUC